Molecule: ribosomal RNA, 466 nt
Filed under: uncultured Nitrosomonas sp.
Lineage: Bacteria; Pseudomonadati; Pseudomonadota; Betaproteobacteria; Nitrosomonadales; Nitrosomonadaceae
Description: bacterial SSU rRNA
Rfam family: Bacterial small subunit ribosomal RNA
Source: RNAcentral
AUCGAAAGACCUUAUGCCUUUGGAGCGGCCGAUGUCUGAUUAGCUAGUUGGUAAGGUAAUGGCUUACCAAGGCAACGAUCAGUAGUUGGUCUGAGAGGACGACCAGCCACACUGGGACUGAGACACGGCCCAGACUCCUACGGGAGGCAGCAGUGGGGAAUUUUGGACAAUGGGCGCAAGCCUGAUCCAGCAAUGCCGCGUGAGUGAAGAAGGCCUUCGGGUUGUAAAGCUCUUUCAGUUGAGAAGAAAAGAUUGUGACUAAUAAUUGCAAUUCAUGACGGUAUCAACAGAAGAAGCACCGGCUAACUACGUGCCAGCAGCCGCGGUAAUACGUAGGGUGCGAGCGUUAAUCGGAAUUACUGGGCGUAAAGGGUGCGCAGGCGGUUCCGUAAGUCAGGGUGAAAUCCCCGGGCUUAACCUGGGAACUGCGUUGAAACUACAAGGCUAGAAGGCCGAGAUUCUUUAC